AUUGAACGCUGGCGGCAGGCCUAACACAUGCAAGUCGAGCGGAUGAAGGGAGCUUGCUCCUGGAUUCAGCGGCGGACGGGUGAGUAAUGCCUAGGAAUCUGCCUGGUAGUGGGGGAUAACGUCCGGAAACGGGCGCUAAUACCGCAUACGUCCUGAGGGAGAAAGUGGGGGAUCUUCGGACCUCACGCUAUUAGAUGAGCCUAGGUCGGAUUAGCUAGUUGGUGGGGUAAAGGCCUACCAAGGCGACGAUCCGUAACUGGUCUGAGAGGAUGAUCAGUCACACUGGAACUGAGACACGGUCCAGACUCCUACGGGAGGCAGCAGUGGGGAAUAUUGGACAAUGGACGAAAGCCUGAUCCAGCCAUGCCGCGUGUGUGAAGAAGGUCUUCGGAUUGUAAAGCACUUUAAGUUGGGAGGAAGGGCAGUAAGUUAAUACCUUGCUGUUUUGACGUUACCAACAGAAUAAGCACCGGCUAACUUCGUG
RNAcentral lists this ribosomal RNA (484 nucleotides) under uncultured bacterium. RNAcentral's name for it is "partial 16S ribosomal RNA". It matches the Rfam family "Bacterial small subunit ribosomal RNA", at positions 30 to 507 of the family's 1533-position model. The record is from RNAcentral.